CACGUAGUUAGCCGGAGCUUAUUCUUUGGGUACCGUCAUUGUUUUCGUCCCCAAUUAAAGAUCUUUACAACCCGAAGGCCUUCUUCAAUCACGCGGCGUUGCUGCGUCAGGGUUGCCCCCAUUGCGCAAUAUUCCCCACUGCUGCCUCCCGUAGGAGUCUGGGCCGUGUCUCAGUCCCAAUGUGGCCGUUCAACCUCUCAGUCCGGCUACUGAUCGUCGCCUUGGUGGGCCGUUACCCCGCAACUAGCUAAUCAGACGCGAGCUCAUCCAAAGGCAAUAAAUCUUUGGCAGCAAAAUCAUGCGAUCUCACUGCGUUAUGCGGUAUUAGCAGCCGUUUCGGCUGUUAUCCCCACUAAGGGCAGAUUGCUCACGCGUUACUCACCCGUCCGCCACUAACUUAUGAAUUCCGCUACCCGAAAGACGUUUACCAAAAUUAGUCCGUUCGACUUGCUAUGUGUUAGGCACGCCGCAGCGUUCAUCCUGAGCCAGGAUCAAACUCU
RNAcentral lists this ribosomal RNA (500 nucleotides) under uncultured Butyricicoccus sp. RNAcentral's name for it is "partial 16S ribosomal RNA". The record is from RNAcentral. Lineage: Bacteria; Bacillati; Bacillota; Clostridia; Eubacteriales; Butyricicoccaceae.